AUAGCUCAGUGGUAAAGUGCAUGCUUUGUAUGCAUUAAGCCCUGGGUUCAAUUCCCCAGU
Molecule: transfer RNA, 60 nt
Filed under: Erinaceus europaeus (western European hedgehog)
Lineage: Eukaryota; Metazoa; Chordata; Mammalia; Eulipotyphla; Erinaceidae
Rfam family: tRNA
About the family: Transfer RNA (tRNA) molecules are approximately 80 nucleotides in length. Their secondary structure includes four short double-helical elements and three loops (D, anti-codon, and T loops). Further hydrogen bonds mediate the characteristic L-shaped molecular structure. tRNAs have two regions of fundamental functional importance: the anti-codon, which is responsible for specific mRNA codon recognition, and the 3' end, to which the tRNAs corresponding amino acid is attached (by aminoacyl-tRNA synthetases). tRNAs cope with the degeneracy of the genetic code in two manners: having more than one tRNA (with a specific anti-codon) for a particular amino acid; and 'wobble' base-pairing, i.e. permitting non-standard base-pairing at the 3rd anti-codon position.
Source: Rfam by way of RNAcentral